GAUGAAGAACGCAGCGAAAUGCGAUACGUAAUGUGAAUUGCAGAAUUCAGUGAAUCAUCGAAUCUUUGAACGCAUAUUGCGCUCUUUGGUAUUCCGAAGAGCAUGCUUGUUUUAGUAUCAGUAAACACCUCAAAGCUUUUGGAUUUUUUAAUCGAAAAGCUUUGGACUUGAGCAAUCCCAACACCAAUCUUUUUGAGAUCGGUGGCGGGUUGCUUGAAAUGCAGGUGCAGCUGGACAUUCUCCUGAGCUAAAAGCAUAUUCAUUUAGUCCCGUCAAACGGAUUAUUACUUUUGCUGCAGCUAACAUAAAGGGAGUUUGACCGUAUUGGCUGACUGAUGCAGGAUUUCACAAGGGUCGGCAACGAUUCUUGUUAAACUCGAUCUCAAAUCAAGUAAGACUACCCGCUGAACUUAAGCAUAUCAAUAAGCGGAGGA
This 434-nucleotide unclassified non-coding RNA is filed under the name soil metagenome. Its description in RNAcentral is "partial contains 5.8S ribosomal RNA, internal transcribed spacer 2, and large subunit ribosomal RNA". The stretch from base 1 to 120 matches the Rfam family "5.8S ribosomal RNA", at positions 35 to 154 of the family's 154-position model. The record is from RNAcentral.